Molecule: small nucleolar RNA, 107 nt
Organism: Cornus florida
Lineage: Eukaryota; Viridiplantae; Streptophyta; Magnoliopsida; Cornales; Cornaceae
Source: RefSeq, a predicted model, not a curated record
AUGUCAUGAGGAGGACAUUUCUUAAGCAAAUCAUUUAAUUGCUCCCAUGCCUCAUAAAACAUUUCCCUAUCCACUUGUGAGAAUUCAUGAAUUGAAGUUCUCAUUAC